This 561-nucleotide ribosomal RNA is filed under the name Streptosporangium sp. 319B09. RNAcentral's name for it is "bacterial SSU rRNA". It matches the Rfam family "Bacterial small subunit ribosomal RNA", at positions 93 to 671 of the family's 1533-position model. Lineage: Bacteria; Bacillati; Actinomycetota; Actinomycetes; Streptosporangiales; Streptosporangiaceae. The record is from RNAcentral. RNAcentral also lists the same sequence under 1 other name.
GAGCGGCGAACGGGUGAGUAACACGUGAGUAACCUGCCCCUGACUCUGGGAUAAGCCCGGGAAACUGGGUCUAAUACCGGAUACGACACCUCCUGGCAUCGGGUGGGUGUGGAAAGUCUUUUCGGUUGGGGAUGGACUCGCGGCCUAUCAGCUUGUUGGUGGGGUAAUGGCCUACCAAGGCGACGACGGGUAGCCGGCCUGAGAGGGCGACCGGCCACACUGGGACUGAGACACGGCCCAGACUCCUACGGGAGGCAGCAGUGGGGAAUAUUGCGCAAUGGGCGAAAGCCUGACGCAGCGACGCCGCGUGGGGGAUGACGGCCUUCGGGUUGUAAACCUCUUUCAGCAGGGACGAAGUUGACGUGUACCUGCAGAAGAAGCGCCGGCUAACUACGUGCCAGCAGCCGCGGUAAUACGUAGGGCGCAAGCGUUGUCCGGAAUUAUUGGGCGUAAAGAGCUCGUAGGUGGCUUGUCACGUCGGGUGUGAAAGCUUGGGGCUUAACUCCAGGUCUGCAUUCGAUACGGGCUGGCUAGAGGUAGGUAGGGGAGAACGGAAUUCCU